This is a long non-coding RNA of Rhododendron vialii, 2029 nucleotides long. RefSeq lists it as uncharacterized. The transcript has 2 exons. The record is from RefSeq and is a predicted model, not a curated record. NCBI's taxonomy places the organism in Eukaryota, Viridiplantae, Streptophyta, Magnoliopsida, Ericales, Ericaceae.
AGGUACAAUGAGCGGUGGUUGUUGCAUCUAAUUCAAUUUCUAUUAGCGUACAAUCUAGUAGCUUUGCAGGUUUUGAUUUUAUAUGCUAACUGUAUUAGAAAUUGAUGCAAUAUAUAUGCCUCCUACGUGUUUGACAUUUGGCUUCUGAAAGUAAGUCGUUUUCCGGCCUUUGGUUUUCGUGAAGUCUUGAUUCCAAAAUAAGCAGCAAAGUCGGGAUCCAUAACUUUGUACCCAUUAUUUCAUCUGAAGUUUUCUGGGCAAUUGAGUUUCAUAUGGCUUGGAACUACACCACCUCUUUCUUUGUCUCUCUCGCAAACAUACAAAGGCACAUUCUUUCACAGUUACGCACCGGGUGGAAUUAUUGUCAGGGCUUGUUGGUUGCUUCCAUUGAACAAAGCCGCCUUUAAGUAGCUGGUUUGUAGAAUCAUGGAAGCACACAAAGGGAGGAUACGCAGUUUGUAGAAUUGGUGUAUUCGUGCAUACAUUAUCUCUUUUAGAUAGUUUUAUUGAUGAACCUGUACUUCACGUUCCAGUAAACCCUGGUGAACUAGAUGUCCAGAAUCAUGUUAGUUUAAUGAGGCUUAGAUAGUAGUAUAUAAUAUCACCCAGAAUGUUGAUCUCCUCAUAUAUUUUGACAAUUUAGCUGAUUUGGACUUUCUGCAAAGUCUUAAAUAUUACCUUACUACUCUAGCCAGAAUGUUAUAUUAUUCAUUGUUAUCCUUUGCUAUGACUAUUAUUAAGAUAUGUUUGUUAACUUAGGUAAUGAUCCCUCUAACUUGUCUAUGUUUUCUUUCUAGCCUGUCCUUCCCUCUUGCUUAGCUGAGUAUGAGAGGCUCAGGUGUUGGGUAGCAUUUCAUGCACUGCAUUUCCGCCCAGAAAUUUUGGCACUGGGACCCUAAUGGUGGAAAGGGUCAGAACCAAACUUGUAUCUGGAUUCAGGAUCAGUGUUCAUAAUUAUGAUUUGGUGGUUUAGAGCCUGAUUACUAUGCUCAUUCUUCAUUAACUGGAUUCAUUCUUCUCCAUAUGGCUAGAGACUAGAGAGGAAUGGAAUAUAAUUUUUAGAGGAUAAGACUCUUGAGGAUAUGAACUGGUAGAUGUAAUCAAAACCAGGACUGCAUUUUGGGUGAAGGCAAAAUUUGAUCUUAAAAAGUACCCAGGUGGAUGACAUUAAAAGAUGCCUCAAUGGUAUUAGGAGACUGAAAGUGAGGGAAGAUGGGUUGUGGCUAAGAUUGAUUCUAUAUGGGGGGAUUAUGUGAAAUAAUGUGCUGUUGAAGGGGUUGCUGGUGUUGGCAAGGCUAGAUAGAAGGUGGGCUUGAGAAGGUGUGAAGCUGGGGUGGAUCAGAGUUCAUUUGUUUGGUUCUGCUGCUGUAAUUUUACAUAGGAGGGACUGCAAGAAUACUUCAGUCUCUUGGGUGUGUGGUGCUUAUGGGAUAAGUGUGGAUGAGUUGGUUGGUGUGCGCGCGCGCGCGUGUGCCAAACAUUUUUUUGGAGCAUUGUCAAAAGCUCUAAAACUUGUUUUCAAAUUGGAUUCGUAGCUGUGUUGCAAACUUGAUCGGGUGCUACGAAUGCUUGACUGAUGCUGUUUUGGAGGCUUACACUAUUAUGCUAUUUGGUUUGGGGAGUAAAAUGUGGUUUACAAUUAAGGGCUCAAUCUGUAUGGUCUGCUGGCUUUAGUGUCUACUUUGGUGCUAUAACCUACCGGGGAUGUUUGCUGCUACAAAAUCUGCUUCAUGUGCUAAUUCUGCAAGGAUGUUUGUCCCGGUGUUCCUAUGGCUAUGUGGGCUAGGCUUUUGUCUUGAUGUAUCUAUUUGUUUGCUUUGUACUUUUGUAUUUCCCUUUUGGUUGGCUUCUAGCCAACAUCUCUUUCUUUUGCUGUAGCGGGUGGCAUAUGAUUGUCCAUGCCUUGGUGCCAACCUAGUUGCAAUUAAGGUCUCUACAGUGAUGCCAUCGUUGUCCGUCUUCCUUUUAAUCUUUGUAAUCUUUUUGGCAUUGAUUAGUAAAAUCUUUCCUUUGCUGAGGACAAAAAAAA